Molecule: long non-coding RNA, 340 nt
Filed under: Brassica napus (rape)
Lineage: Eukaryota; Viridiplantae; Streptophyta; Magnoliopsida; Brassicales; Brassicaceae
Description: long non-coding RNA (BNAP_LNC013932)
Source: RNAcentral
GUGGGUUUAAGAAGAAACCUAGACUAAAUCAAAUUAUAUCUAUCAAGCGAUCAAAGCUCCCCAGCAACGGCGCCAAAUUUGAUCUCAUUCAAAUUACCCUAAGGAGUGAAUUACUCUCUCAAAUAAGAGGUCCAGUUGUAGUAAUUAGGGAUCGAAUUCUCACGGAGCUAGGGAACCUAAUAAAUCUAAUUAAAUUGAUUAAGCUAGGUUGAUUAUGAUUAAAUAUAAAGACAGGUUUGUGAGCAAGGCAUUUUCUCGAUUGAUUGAUUGGGGGUUUUGGUACUUAGAUGAAAGUAGCUAGACUUAGGGUUUUUAUUCAGGUUAUCAGAAUUAUAAUCCU